Molecule: ribosomal RNA, 274 nt
Filed under: uncultured bacterium
Lineage: Bacteria
Description: partial 16S ribosomal RNA
Rfam family: Bacterial small subunit ribosomal RNA
Source: RNAcentral
AUACGGAGGGGGCUAGCGUUGUUCGGAAUUACUGGGCGUAAAGGGCACGUAGGCGGACCAGCCAGUCAGGCGUGAAAGCCCCGGGCUUAACCUGGGAACUGCGCUUGAUACUGCUGGUCUAGAGUCCGGGAGAGGGUAGUGGAAUUCCCAGUGUAGAGGUGAAAUUCGUAGAUAUUGGGAAGAACACCGGUGGCGAAGGCGGCUACCUGGACCGGUACUGACGCUAAGGUGCGAAAGCGUGGGGAGCAAACAGGAUUAGAAACCCGAGUAGUCC